AGAGUUUGAUCAUGGCUCAGAACGUACGCUGGCGGCACGCCUAACACAUGCAAGUCGAACGAAGUAGCAAUACUUAGUGGCAGACGGGUGAGUAACAUGUAGGUAUCUGCCCUUUGGCCUGGAAUAACACGAGGAAACUUGUGCUAAUACUGGAUAAGUCUUUACGGAGAAAGCUUUAUGCACCAAUGGAUGAGCCUGCACUUGAUUAGUUUGUUGGUAGGGUAAUGGCCUACCAAGACUAUGAUCAAUAGCUGAUUUGAGAGGAUGAUCAGCCACAUUGGGACUGAGACACGGCCCAAACUCCUACGGGAGGCAGCAGUGGGGAAUCUUGCACAAUGGAGGAAACUCUGAUGCAGCGAUGCCGCGUGAGUGAAGAAGGCCUUUGGGUUGUAAAGCUCUUUCGUCGGGGAAGAAAAUGACUGUACCCGAAUAAGAAGGUCCGGCUAACUUCGUGCCAGCAGCCGCGGUAAUACGAAGGGACCUAGCGUAGUUCGGAAUUACUGGGCUUAAAGAGUUCGUAGGUGGUUGAAAAAGUUGGUGGUGAAAUCCCAGAGCUUAACUCUGGAACUGCCAUCAAAACUUUUCAGCUAGAGUUUGAUAGAGGAAAGCAGAAUUUCUAGUGUAGAGGUGAAAUUCGUAGAUAUUAGAAAGAAUACCAAUUGCGAAGGCAGCUUUCUGGAUCAAUACUGACACUGAGGAACGAAAGCAUGGGUAGCGAAGAGGAUUAGAUACCCUCGUAGUCCAUGCCGUAAACGAUGUGUGUUAGACGUUGGAAAUUUAUUUUCAGUGUCGCAGCGAAAGCGAUAAACACACCGCCUGGGGAGUACGACCGCAAGGUUAAAACUCAAUGAAUUGACGGGGACCCGCACAAGUAGUGGAGCAUGUGGUUUAAUUCGAAGAUACGCGCAGAACCUUACCAACACUUGACAUGUUCGUCGCGACUUUAAGAGAUUAAAGUUUUCGGUUCGGCCGGACGAAACACAGGUGCUGCAUGGCUGUCGUCAGCUCGUGUCGUGAGAUGUUGGGUUAAGUCCCGCAACGAGCGCAACCCUCACUUUUAGUUGCCAUCAUUUAGUUGGGCACUCUGAAAGAACUGCCAGUGAUAAGCUGGAGGAAGGUGGGGAUGACGUCAAGUCCUCAUGGCCCUUACGUGUUGGGCUACACACGUGCUACAAUGGUAUUUACAACAGGAAGCAAAACGGCGACGUUUAGCAAAUCCUUAAAAAAUACCUCAGUUCGGAUUGCACUCUGCAACUCGAGUGCAUGAAGCUGGAAUUACUAGUAAUCGUGGAUCAGCGUGCCACGGUGAAUGCGUUCCCGGGUCUUGUACACACCGCCCGUCACACCAUGGGAGUUGGUUCUACCUUAAGGCAAGGUUUAAAAUCCUUGACCACGGUAUAGUCAGCGACUGGGGUGAAGUCGUAACAAGGUAACCGUA
RNAcentral lists this ribosomal RNA (1438 nucleotides) under uncultured bacterium. RNAcentral's name for it is "bacterial SSU rRNA". It matches the Rfam family "Bacterial small subunit ribosomal RNA". The record is from RNAcentral.